UACGAAGGGGGCUAGCGUUGCCGUACGAUCACUGGGCGUAAAGGGCGCGUAGGCGGCCGAUUAAGUCGGGGGUGAAAGCCUGUGGCUCAACCACAGAAUUGCCUUCGAUACUGGUUGGCUUGAGACCGGAAGAGGACAGCGGAACUGCGAGUGUAGAGGUGAAAUUCGUAGAUAUUCGCAAGAACACCAGUGGCGAAGGCGGCUGUCUGGUCCGGUUCUGACGCUGAGGCGCGAAAGCGUGGGGAGCAAACAGG
RNAcentral lists this ribosomal RNA (254 nucleotides) under uncultured bacterium. RNAcentral's name for it is "partial 16S ribosomal RNA". It matches the Rfam family "Bacterial small subunit ribosomal RNA", at positions 524 to 776 of the family's 1533-position model. The record is from RNAcentral.